This 506-nucleotide ribosomal RNA is filed under the name uncultured bacterium. RNAcentral describes it as "partial 16S ribosomal RNA". It matches the Rfam family "Bacterial small subunit ribosomal RNA", at positions 28 to 523 of the family's 1533-position model. The record is from RNAcentral.
GAUGAACGCUAGCUGCAGGCUUAACACAUGCAAGUCGAGGGGUAACAAGAGGAAAGCUUGCUUUUCUUGUUGACGACCGGCGCACGGGUGAGUAACGCGUAUCCAACCUGCCUAUAACUAGGGAAUAACCUUGCGAAAGUAAGACUAAUACCCUAUGAUUUCCUUUGAUGACAUCAGAUUAGGAAUAAAGAUUUAUCGGUUAUAGAUGGGGAUGCGUCUGAUUAGCUUGUUGGCGGGGUAACGGCCCACCAAGGCAACGAUCAGUAGGGGUUCUGAGAGGAAGGUCCCCCACAUUGGAACUGAGACACGGUCCAAACUCCUACGGGAGGCAGCAGUGAGGAAUAUUGGUCAAUGGGCGGAAGCCUGAACCAGCCAAGUAGCGUGCAGGAUGACGGCCCUAUGGGUUGUAAACUGCUUUUAUACAGGAAUAAAGUUAGCCACGUGUGGUUAUUUGUAGGUACUGUAUGAAUAAGGACCGGCUAACUCCGUGCCAGCCGCCGCGGUAA